UACGGAGGAUGCAAGCGUUAUCCGGAAUGAUUGGGCGUAAAGCGUCCGCAGGUGGCAAUGUAAGUCUGCUGUUAAAGAGUGAGGCUCAACCUCAUAAGAGCAGUGGAAACUACAUAGCUAGAGUGCGUUCGGGGCAAAGGGAAUUCCUGGUGUAGCGGUGAAAUGCGUAGAGAUCAGGAAGAACACCGGUGGCGAAGGCAGCUCUCUGGGACGGUACUGACGCUGAGACGCGAAAGCGUGGGGAGCGAACAGG
This 253-nucleotide ribosomal RNA is filed under the name uncultured bacterium. RNAcentral describes it as "partial 16S ribosomal RNA". It matches the Rfam family "Bacterial small subunit ribosomal RNA", at positions 524 to 776 of the family's 1533-position model. The record is from RNAcentral.